GGGACGAACGCUGGCGGCGUGCUUAACACAUGCAAGUCGAGCGGAAAGGCCCUUCGGGGUACUCGAGCGGCGAACGGGUGAGUAACACGUGAGUAAUCUGCCCCUAGCUCUGGGAUAGCUCCGGGAAACCGGGAUUAAUACCGGAUAUGACCACUUUAGACAUCUGCUGUGGUGGAAAGAAUUUCGGCUAGGGAUGAGCUCGCGGCCUAUCAGCUUGUUGGUGGGGUAACGGCCUACCAAGGCGACGACGGGUAGCCGGCCUGAGAGGGCGACCGGCCACACUGGGACUGAGACACGGCCCAGACUCCUACGGGAGGCAGCAGUGGGGAAUAUUGCGCAAUGGGCGAAAGCCUGACGCAGCGACGCCGCGUGGGGGAUGAAGGCCUUCGGGUUGUAAACCCCUUUCAGCAGGGACGAAGCGAAAGUGACGGUACCUGCAGAAGAAGCGCCGGCUAACUACGUGCCAGCAGCCGC
This 474-nucleotide ribosomal RNA is filed under the name uncultured bacterium. Its description in RNAcentral is "SSU rRNA". It matches the Rfam family "Bacterial small subunit ribosomal RNA", at positions 27 to 518 of the family's 1533-position model. The record is from RNAcentral.